AUGGGUUGCUCCAUUAGGGUCCUGCUGGGAUA
This 32-nucleotide non-coding RNA is filed under the name Homo sapiens (human). Lineage: Eukaryota; Metazoa; Chordata; Mammalia; Primates; Hominidae. The record is from RNAcentral.